AUUAGACGUACCCGGGUACGUCCCAGCCGUAAACAAUGUGCGUUAGGUGUGUCGGUAACCACGUGUUACUGAUGCGCCGAAGAGAAAUCGUGAAACGCACCACCUGGGAAGUACGGUCGCAAGGCUGAAACUUAAAGGAAUUGGCGGGGGAGCACCACAACAGGUGGAGCCUGCGGUUUAAUUGGAUUCAACGCCGGACAUCUCACCGGAUAAGACAGCUGAAUGAUUGUCAAUCUGAAGGUUUUACAUGACUAGCUG
This 258-nucleotide ribosomal RNA is filed under the name uncultured archaeon. Its description in RNAcentral is "partial 16S ribosomal RNA". It matches the Rfam family "Archaeal small subunit ribosomal RNA", at positions 728 to 982 of the family's 1478-position model. The record is from RNAcentral.